RNAcentral lists this microRNA precursor (76 nucleotides) under Danaus chrysippus (African queen). RNAcentral describes it as "mir-1 microRNA precursor family". It matches the Rfam family "mir-1 microRNA precursor family". From Rfam's summary of the family: This family represents the microRNA (miRNA) mir-1 family. miRNAs are transcribed as ~70nt precursors (modelled here) and subsequently processed by the Dicer enzyme to give a ~22nt product. Lineage: Eukaryota; Metazoa; Arthropoda; Insecta; Lepidoptera; Nymphalidae. RNAcentral also lists the same sequence under 1 other name. The record is from Rfam by way of RNAcentral.
GCGUUAGUUCCGUGCUUCCUUACUUCCCAUAGUACUUAGAUAUCGUAUGGAAUGUAAAGAAGUAUGGAGCUGCGCG